Molecule: unclassified non-coding RNA, 20 nt
Filed under: Chlamydomonas reinhardtii
Lineage: Eukaryota; Viridiplantae; Chlorophyta; Chlorophyceae; Chlamydomonadales; Chlamydomonadaceae
Description: small RNA Cre_1937
Source: RNAcentral
GGGGGUGGUGGUGGUGGCGG